Poecilia reticulata (guppy) is the source of this 1062-nucleotide long non-coding RNA. RefSeq lists it as uncharacterized. The record is from RefSeq and is a predicted model, not a curated record. NCBI's taxonomy places the organism in Eukaryota, Metazoa, Chordata, Actinopteri, Cyprinodontiformes, Poeciliidae.
GCCUCUCCUCAUGAUCAUCAUCCUCCACCUUCAUCCAUGAACAACAUGAUGCUGCAUCUCAUCCCACAGGCUGUAAUAUUAUGUUACAGCGUGAUAACCAGCGCUCAGGACGAAUCCAACCUGACUGAGAGGCCUUAUGUGGUCCUGCAGAAGCAGAACCUAGUGACAUUGGGGAGUGUCCUCGCUGUUCUGCUGCUGCUGAUGAUCGUCAUGGCUGUCUGUGUGUACAGACCUCUGACUCGUCGCUGAAACUGGACACAAACAUUAACUGUGACGCGUAUCUUCUGGUACAAGCUGCAUUGCGAGUAGAGCCCAGCAGAUGGCAGUACAACCAGGCAGCUGUCAGCAGCGAUACCUCCUGACUUGGAAGCCUAAAUUAAAAUAUGCUGCGACUGAGCGGUUAAAAAAUUACUCAUUGAUUUGCAGAUUGCAGUAAAAGUGGACAAUGUAUGCACCUAACAUCUGUAUCCGCAAGUUUUAGCAAUGGUCAGCGUGAAGCCGUCAUCACUCCCCAUCAAAAAGGGGCUCACAUUCAAGGAAAUUGCUGCCUCAAGUAUUUAGCUUGAAAGAACAUUUUUGUUCAUUUUCAAAAAGUUCAAGCUGACAAAUUGAACUACAGCAAAAGAAUACAUAAGGGUAUCACAGAUUAUCAGGCAAUGGUUUCCUCCUUAAAGGUACACCAGUGAAGAGCUUGCUCAAAAUUGGCAGCAGAUGGGCGUGAGCAUGUUUGCAUGCACUGUGAGACAAAGACUUUGGAUAACGGCCUUGUAACAAGUAUGGCUGCAAAGAAGCUGCUUUGGUGCAAGGAAAACAUCAAGCCAGACUGGGUUUCUACAGGAGGUACAAGGAGUGAACUGCACAGGACUGGAACAAAACGAUUUUCUCUCAUGGAUCCAUCUUGUCUACAAAAUCUGGAAAAUCUGAAAAAUCUGAAAAAGUGACAUAAUAUGGACUUUUGUAAUUGUUUUGCUCAUAAAAGGCACUGAAAUGUAAGACAUUAGAUUUGAUUCAUAUGCGAUUAUAGGACUAAUAAAAAUAAAGGUCAUGUUAACUAUAACCAGA